This 88-nucleotide transfer RNA is filed under the name Christensenellaceae bacterium. RNAcentral's name for it is "tRNA-Leu". It matches the Rfam family "tRNA". From Rfam's summary of the family: Transfer RNA (tRNA) molecules are approximately 80 nucleotides in length. Their secondary structure includes four short double-helical elements and three loops (D, anti-codon, and T loops). Lineage: Bacteria; Bacillati; Bacillota; Clostridia; Christensenellales; Christensenellaceae. The record is from RNAcentral.
GCCGCUGUGGCGGAAUAGGCAGACGCAAGGGACUUAAAAUCCCUCGAACAUUACGUUCAUGUCGGUUCGAACCCGACUAGCGGCACCA